CCAUUCCUUCUCCAGGGGAUCUUCCUGACCCAGGGAUUGAAUCCAAGUCUCCUGGAUUGGCAGCCAGAUUCUUUGCCACUGAGCUACCAUGAGAGACCAGUACCUAGAGGGUCCAAAUGGCUUCAUCCAGGUUUGAAAAGUCAUUCAAGAGUGUUCAAAACCAAGACUAAGAAGAAUCAACUCAUAUUGGCUGAAACGAUCUCUUGGGGAUUCUGGCUGGAUCUGAUGGAAAUACUUUAGGGUACUUCCCGACCAAUUUGGACAAUGCAGGAACUUCAGGAUAACUUUUUUAGAAGUGGAAUUACAAGCCAGAAACAUUAAAUAAAUGACAAAAUUGCAUUCCAGAAGGACUGCAGGACUUUACCUUCUCACUUCCAGCCAAGGAACUUCUCUGUUUCUCCACACUGAUGACAGUAUUGAGAAUUUUUACGUAAAACUUUUUACACUAGUAUUAUAAUAUCUUAAUUUAAAUUUGUACUUCUUUGACUACUAUUGAGAAUAAUUUAAAAUAUUUUUUUAUUUUAUGCAAGUUGUCUCUUUCCUUUUCCCUAUUCGCUUGUAAAAAUUCUUGAUAUAAAUAUUUCAACUUGUGAUCUGUCAGGUAUUUGGCAACUGUUAUCCUCAAAAAUUUUGUUUAGGAUUUUUUUUGUGAUUCAUACAUUGUUUGUUUUUCAAAGACAAAUUUGCCUACCUUUUAU
Capra hircus (goat) is the source of this 698-nucleotide long non-coding RNA. RefSeq lists it as uncharacterized. Lineage: Eukaryota; Metazoa; Chordata; Mammalia; Artiodactyla; Bovidae. The transcript has 4 exons. The record is from RefSeq and is a predicted model, not a curated record.